RNAcentral lists this ribosomal RNA (468 nucleotides) under uncultured bacterium. RNAcentral's name for it is "partial 16S ribosomal RNA". It matches the Rfam family "Bacterial small subunit ribosomal RNA", at positions 28 to 507 of the family's 1533-position model. The record is from RNAcentral.
GACGAACGCUGGCGGCGUGCUUAACACAUGCAAGUCGAACGGAAAGGCCCUGCUUUUGUGGGGUGCUCGAGUGGCGAACGGGUGAGUAACACGUGAGUAACCUGCCCUUGACUUUGGGAUAACUUCAGGAAACUGGGGUUAUAACCGGUUGGGAGCUCCUGCUUCUUGUUGGGGUUUGGAAAGUUUCGGCGGUUGGGGAUGGACUCGCGGCUUAUCAGCUUGUUGGUGGGGUAGUGGCUUACCAAGGCUUUGACGGGUAGCCGGCCUGAGAGGGUGACCGGCCACAUUGGGACUGAGAUACGGCCCAGACUCCUACGGGAGGCAGCAGUGGGGAAUAUUGCACAAUGGGCGGAAGCCUGAUGCAGCAACGCCGCGUGCGGGAUGACGGCCUUCGGGUUGUAAACCGCUUUCGCCUGUGACGAAGCGUGAGUGACGGUAAUGGGUAAAGAAGCACCGGCUAACUACGUG